GGCCCCAUAGUGAAGCGGUUAACACAACAGCCUUUCACGCUGUAGACACGGGUUCGAAUCCCGUUGGGGUCACCA
This 75-nucleotide transfer RNA is filed under the name Clostridium sp. 'deep sea'. Its description in RNAcentral is "tRNA-Glu". It matches the Rfam family "tRNA". From Rfam's summary of the family: Transfer RNA (tRNA) molecules are approximately 80 nucleotides in length. Their secondary structure includes four short double-helical elements and three loops (D, anti-codon, and T loops). The record is from RNAcentral. Lineage: Bacteria; Bacillati; Bacillota; Clostridia; Eubacteriales; Clostridiaceae.